Bison bison bison is the source of this 107-nucleotide small nuclear RNA. The record is from Ensembl. Lineage: Eukaryota; Metazoa; Chordata; Mammalia; Artiodactyla; Bovidae.
GUGCUUGCUUCAGCAGCACAUAUACUAAAAUUAGAAUGAUACAGAGAUGAUUAGCAUGGCCCCCAUGCAAGGAUGACAUGCAAAUUUGUGAAGCAUUCCAUAUUUUU